This 375-nucleotide ribosomal RNA is filed under the name Vibrio sp. HR11-47. RNAcentral describes it as "bacterial SSU rRNA". It matches the Rfam family "Bacterial small subunit ribosomal RNA", at positions 1017 to 1391 of the family's 1533-position model. The record is from RNAcentral. Lineage: Bacteria; Pseudomonadati; Pseudomonadota; Gammaproteobacteria; Vibrionales; Vibrionaceae.
CCUUCGGGANCUCUGAGACAGGUGCUGCAUGNCUGUCGUCAGCUCGUGUUGUGAAAUGUUGGGUUAAGUCCCGCAACGAGCGCAACCCUUAUCCUUGUUUGCCAGCACGUAAUGGUGGGAACUCCAGGGAGACUGCCGGUGAUAAACCGGAGGAAGGUGGGGACGACGUCAAGUCAUCAUGGCCCUUACGAGUAGGGCUACACACGUGCUACAAUGGCGCAUACAGAGGGCGGCCAACCAGCGAUGGUGAGCGAAUCCCAAAAAGUGCGUCGUAGUCCGGAUUGGAGUCUGCAACUCGACUCCAUGAAGUCGGAAUCGCUAGUAAUCGUGAAUCAGAAUGUCACGGUGAAUACGUUCCCGGGCCUUGUACACACC